Long non-coding RNA from Onychostruthus taczanowskii (white-rumped snowfinch), 1663 nucleotides. RefSeq lists it as uncharacterized. NCBI's taxonomy places the organism in Eukaryota, Metazoa, Chordata, Aves, Passeriformes, Passeridae. The record is from RefSeq and is a predicted model, not a curated record. The transcript is spliced from 2 exons.
UAAGGCGCAACGCUUAUCUGGAGUCAGGGGAUGACUCAGGAGGAUGCGAGAGCCGCAGCUGGGGCUGGAGCCUCCCUGCUCGCCCGCUGAUGGUACAGCUACCCCACUGCUCUGGGGGCUGCUCAGCCCCCCCUCCACCAGCCACUGCCAGUUCCAGCCUCAAAGCACAGAGUUCAGUCCUCAGCUGGGCUGAGACACGCGUCUUUGGGAGGUUGCUGUACACCAGGUCACCCAGAGCAACGUGGGUUAAAGAUGUGACCAACUGAGCAGAAGAGCAGUGCAAAUUGAAGGACACCUUGAGACAGCAUGUGGAUAAGGGGAGGAAGGUUGACAGAUGAGGUAUUUGGGGUAAAUGGCACUGAGAGCAAGUAUGGGAAAGUUAGGAGCAAAGCCAUCUUGGUGGACAUGAGAGGAAUUUCAAAAUAACUGAAAGACAAUUUAGAAAGGUCAGCAUUAUUAAUGAGAUUUUGACAAGGCAUCAGUCCAGUUUCCCCUUGUACUUGAAUCACCAGUUAGGUGUCUUUGGACUGUAUCUGUGCAUGGUAUAACGCCAAAAAUUACUGAACAUCUACCCUUGAUCACAGAAAAUGCUUUCAUUGACUAUUGCUUUCUGUAUCACAGAAGACAAUGAGCCUCAUUCUCUGAUCUUUUAAUUCUGUUUACUGUACUUGGAUUAUGUCAAUGGGACAUGCUAAGUUUUAACCCACUGAGGGAGAAACCCACAUAUUUGUGUCCCUGCUCAAGCUACAAAGAAAGGGGGGCUGCAAACUUUACAGGGUCAUGCAGCACAGUGAGGGGACCUUCCCCCCAGCUGACAGCCCAGCUACCCCUGGGCAGUAGCUGUCACCCAGCCAUGCUCCCAAUAAAACAAGACACUGGCACAGAAUCUACAAGGAAAGAAACAAGCUAUUUUUUGCAGCUUGUUCUUUUUCAUAGCAUCUCUGCUUAUAUUAAAUUAUUUUGUUGUUAUGAUAUGUUGCUGGUUUCUGGCAUGCUGACAUGCCUAGUAAAAACAGUUGUUAGGGGACUGUUUUGCUCAGUGUACCUGAAAGUUUAUCAUCCAGUGGAGUUUGGGAAAGUGUCUUAAUUAUAUUUUGAUUCCACGGUGAAAGAUAAUUUCAUAUCCCCAUUUAAUUAUCAAUGCAGAACGUUCUGUGAUAAUAUAUUAUUAUGUCUGAACUGUCUGAACCUGAUGUUGUGAUGGCUUAAAAUAGCCUCCAGGGCAGUUCAGUUGUGUGAAACGAAACUGGGACAAUUCCUAAAAGCUCAAGAGGGACUGCAGAUCUAUUAGUCUUGGCAGCAAUAAAGUAGUUGGGAUAAGGAUGAACUUUCAAAAAGUGGAAUCAUUCUUUUUCCUAGCUUAACAAAAAAUGAAAGAAAAACAUUUUAGGAUUUUAUUUUUUAAUUUAGAUUCCCAAUACUAGCAGAUUUUGAAAAACAAGAAUGAUAGAUGUACGUCCUAUAAAGAGCAGAUGAGCUGAAAUUUUAUUUCUGUGUAUCCUGCCCACCUGUGUAGGCAUUUCAAAAGAGUGUUCUUUCACCUGCCUGAACACUUAGCAUCAUCUGAUACCUGAUCAUGGCCCCACCUUGUCCUAAUUGCUUUUGUUUUGCUCAUAAUCAUUUUCUUCUAAUCAAGAGAUUAAAUUGAAAAAAAAAAAAAAAA